CGCUAGCUACAGGCUUAACACAUGCAAGUCGAGGGGCAGCAUGCAGGUAGCUUGCUAUCUGUGAUGGCGACCGGCGCACGGGUGAGUAACGCGUAUCCAACCUUCCCCGUAGUAGGGCACAGCCCGGCGAAAGUCGGAUUAAUUCCCUAUGUUCUCCAAUGCAGGCAUCUAAGUUGGAGCAAAGAUUCAUCGCUAUGGGAUGGGGAUGCGUCUGAUUAGGUUGUCGGCGGGGUAACGGCCCACCGAGCCUGCGAUCAGUAGGGGUUCUGAGAGGAAGGUCUCCCACAUUGGAACUGAGACACGGUCCAAACUCCUACGGGAGGCAGCAGUGAGGAAUAUUGGUCAAUGGAGGCAACUCUGAACCAGCCAAGUAGCGUGCAGGAGGACGGCCCUAUGGGUUGUAAACUGCUUUUAUAAGGGGAUAAAGGAUGCCACGUGUGGUGUUUUGCAUGUACCUUAUGAAUAAGGACCGGCUAAUUCCGUGCCAGCAGCCGCGGUAAUACGGAAGGUCCGGGCGUUAUCCGGAUUUAUUGGGUUUAAAGGGAGCGCAGGCGGGCGAUUAAGCGUGACGUGAAAUGCGGCGGCUCAACCGUAUGAAGUGCGUCGCGAACUGGUUGCCUUGAGUGAGUUCGACGUGCGCGGAAUU
RNAcentral lists this ribosomal RNA (646 nucleotides) under uncultured rumen bacterium. Its description in RNAcentral is "bacterial SSU rRNA". It matches the Rfam family "Bacterial small subunit ribosomal RNA", at positions 34 to 668 of the family's 1533-position model. The record is from RNAcentral.